Molecule: long non-coding RNA, 1113 nt
Organism: Acanthochromis polyacanthus (spiny chromis)
Lineage: Eukaryota; Metazoa; Chordata; Actinopteri; Pomacentridae
Exons: 3
Source: RefSeq, a predicted model, not a curated record
ACAAAUUUUCAUGAGUUUUUGAGCAUGUUUAGGCCCUCAAAAAUGCAAUUGUUCUGAGAGACAAAUAAUAAUAAUAAUUAAAGCUGCGAGCAGCGUUGGACGGGUCCUCGCAUCCUUGCUGGUCGGCGACCCCAGGCAUGUCCACCAGGCAAUGCUGCGACAAAGUGUAUUUAGGCUCAUGGAUGUAACGAGGACUGGAUUCUGAGCACUCAGGUCAAAUUUCAGACAGAUUGGAGCAUGUACAGACUAUUUUUGCAGCACUUUGUGUCCAUCCACCAGGUGGCACUAUGUCUGUGACUGUAUAGUGGUCUAUGAAACUCAUCAGGCCUGGACUCUGAUCAAACAUGUAAAGUUUGAGGUAGAUUACAGCAUGUACAGGGGAUUUACACAAGACGUCCUGCUUCAUGGCGUAACAUUAAAGUUCAGUUGGCCGCCAUGGCCAUGCCCUUUGAGUUUUGUGAACAAUUUUCGCAAAUAUGCAACCUGAAGGCGUUUCUUAUAUAUUUUCCCAAAUUCAGGUGUUUUGGAGUUAUUGCCAGUGACAAAUGAAUUGUUGAAAAUGACCAAAAACACCAAAAAUCUGACAUUUAAUUCAAAAUGGCUGACUUUCUGUUGUGUUUAGAGAAUGACUCCAAGAGACUUUUUUGCUUGCACUGAUGUGCUACAUAUGCAUGCCAAAUUUCAUAGUCAUAGGUGAAAGUCUGUGUGGAGGCUAUUUUUUAAAUUCUUUUAGGGGGCGCUAUGGUAGAUGCUGUGAAUGUAUUUUGGCCAAUAAAUGUGAUCAGGACAGGACUGUGUUUAAUCAUGUGAGGUCUGAGGUAGAUUGGAGCAUGCAGAGGAUAGUUAGGUAGCACUUGAUGUUUCAUGGCGAACCAUCAAAAUUCUGGAGGUCGCCAUGUCCACACCCUUUGACUCUGCAAGAAUCCUUUGAUAACUUUUGAUCAUAACAUCGUGUUGUAUAUCCUGGCAAAAUUUCAGCUCUCCAGACCUUAACCCCGAGGAGGAGUUCGCUCUCAAAAAUGAAAAAAAUACAGAAAUUUUAUCCACUUAAUUCAAAAUGGCGGACUUCCUGUUGAGUUUAGGGGAUGGCUCCAAGAGGCUUUUUUGUGUGUC